UCUGGCCUUGGCCUCAAAGUGUUGUGU
This 27-nucleotide non-coding RNA is filed under the name Homo sapiens (human). Lineage: Eukaryota; Metazoa; Chordata; Mammalia; Primates; Hominidae. The record is from RNAcentral.